Molecule: ribosomal RNA, 497 nt
Filed under: uncultured bacterium
Lineage: Bacteria
Description: partial 16S ribosomal RNA
Rfam family: Bacterial small subunit ribosomal RNA
Source: RNAcentral
GAUGAACGCUGGCGGCGUGCCUAAUACAUGCAAGUCGAGCGAACGGACGAGAAGCUUGCUUCUCUGAUGUUAGCGGCGGACGGGUGAGUAACACGUGGAUAACCUACCUAUAAGACUGGGAUCACUUCGGGAAACCGUAGCUAAUACCGGAUAAUAUUUUGAACCGCAUGGUUCAAAAGUGAAAGACGGUCUUGCUGUCACUUAUAGAUGGAUCCGCGCUGCAUUAGCUAGUUGGUAAGGUAACGGCUUACCAAGGCAACGAUGCAUAGCCGACCUGAGAGGGGGAUCGCCCACACGUGAACCUACACACCGUCCAUACUCCUACGGGAGGCAGCAGUAGGGAAUCUUCGGCAAUAGGCGAAAGCCUGGCGCAGCAACGACGCGCGAGCGAUGAGACGCUUCAGAUCGUAAACCUCAAUUAUUAGGGAAAAACAUAUGUAUAAAUUGCCGAACACAUCAUGACGGUACCUAGUCAGAAAGCCACGGCUAACUACGUG